This is an RNA transcript of Grus americana (Whooping crane), 4109 nucleotides long. It is a transcript of the gene named translation initiation factor IF-2-like, with no coding region annotated. NCBI's taxonomy places the organism in Eukaryota, Metazoa, Chordata, Aves, Gruiformes, Gruidae. The transcript is spliced from 2 exons. The record is from RefSeq and is a predicted model, not a curated record.
AUGGAGGGACCGCGGCUCCCCCGGCAGGGCGGGGCGCACUCCGACACGGGGCCCGGCGGCGCCGGCUGGCGCGGCUGGGCUGGGCGCUGGCUUCUCUCCUCCGCCGCUCCGGCUCCGCUCAAUACGCCACGGCCAACAUGGCGGACAUUAAACCUCGACUGGCCGCCUCUUUCAGCCAACCCCAGCGCCACAGCCAUUCCCACACUGCAUCGCGCAGGGGCGCGGGCACAGCGCCGCCCGGGGGAGAGCGCGCGCAGCGCGGGCACGGGAGCGCGGGCUCGAGAGCGCGGGAGAGCCCGCGGCGGCCGGGCGGCGGGCACGGGGCACUACUUGCGGGGGGGUGGGGGCGCAGCUGCUCCCCGCGGGCCCCGUCUCGCGGGGCGGGGGGGGGGGGAAGGAAGGAGGCGGCUUUUCCUCAGCGUGCGGCCCGGGCCGCGCUCUCGCCUGUCUCUCAGCUGCGCCGGGGAAGGCGCGCUCCGUUCCUCCGGGGAUAGGGAGGUUCGGCUGGCCACAGACCCCGCCACCCUCUGGAGGGGAAGCCUCCCUAAGGUAAGAGGACCAACGCCUUUCCCCAAGAGGCUCCUAGCUACGGCAAACCUGGGGACCAGAGCGGGGAGGAGAGCGGGAAACUGCCGGCCCCCACCUUCCCACUCACUUGGGGGCCGGCUGGGCGCCGGACCGAAGGACAGCCUGUCCCGAACGCCCAACUCACCCCAACCCGGGCGGGCGGCGGCGGGGCCGCCCGGUCCCCUUCGAGCGCGGCGCCCGGUGUGGGGGGCUCCGACUGCGGGGCGGCUGGCGGGCCGCCCUGGGAGGGGGAAGCGCUCGUCGCCUCAGGGCCUGGUCCGAGCUCCGCGGCGGGGGACAGCGGACCCUGUCCUGGGCGUCCUGCGGCGCCCCCCCCACCCCCCGCCAGCACCUGCCUGCCGGCCCCCCUCCCUCCCGGAACCAAGUUCGCAUUCGCGCUAAAUGAAGGAGAAACAGGCACCUCCCUGAAAACAUGAAGAACUGAGGCUUUCAGAAACUUGGUCCAGAAGCUAAGUGCAGACACGUGAACUAGUUUAACCCUUGCUUGGAUUUAAGUUACCGGUUUAAGUGAGCUCACUGCAGGCAAAGGUUAGAACUAAUUUAAGCAUGUCUCAUUAGGUAAGCUCGUUUGCGUCUCAAUGAUUUGAUGCAGUAUUCUGCUAUAAGCAAGCGAUAGGAAAUUUAAGAGUCUCACUUGUCUCAGUAAUGUCUCCAAAUGCCCCCAGGUCCGCGCAGCGCAGCGCAGCCAUAUAAAUGUCAAAACCCGUUUCUCCCAGGCCAUGGCAAGAGCUGUCUAGUUAAGGAACACUUCACGUGCUUUUGUAUGUUACGUUCUUGCAUUAGAUCAUAAUGUAAUUCUAGUUCUAUAUUUAAAUCAUAAAUAAAUCCUCCUCGAUGUUUAUUUUAAUUUAAAAGAAAAUUGUGGGGUUUCUCAAUUUAAGUAUCCCUCCACUUUUAAAGCAAAAUAUUGUAGUUUUGUGCUGUUAAGUAAGAAUCAGUAACCAGAACUUGUUCUUUAUCACAUAUUACUCCUGGGAAAUAGAGCUUUCAGAAGUAGAACAUAAAUGUAAGCAUUUGAAAAGCUUAUUUUGCUUAGUAAUAUUAAAAAUCUGAUGUCUGUAAUAGAAACAAAAGUGGUUUUUUUAACCCCAUCACCUCUUUAAUAAUAAUACCACCAUCCUCAACCUUAAACAGGUCCUAGCCACUGGAUGAAAUAUUGCUAGAUGCAGUUGUUAACAUCAGUUUCAAGCCAACUCUUUGCAUGUCUGACUUCCCCAUAUGUCUCCCAAACUGUUUCACCUGCAAGUCAUCCAGCUUCACAACCUCUCUGGGACAGGAAAUUCUCUCUUUAUUGCAAAUGGGUAAUGCAGUGGAAGACAGCUGCAAGGGAGAAUGAGACUUUUUUUAAGGGAGGGUUGUUUUUUGGUGGAUUGUUUUUGUUGUUUUUUUUUUUAAAGGAUAGUGGCAUGAACUAAGGAAUAUCAUUGUAUUAAUUUUCAUUGUAUUUCAGUAGUUACAUCAGAAACAAGUGUUAAAAACUGCAUAUUGCUUUUUAUGCUAAAUUUAAAGCUUAAUGUACACACUAGCUAGAAAUAGUAAUCCUAAAAUAAAUUGCUCAUAAAACGUCUACAAAGUUUUCCACAAAUACUGAAUAAUUUAGUUUAUCCAACUAGCAGACAGACAAGGUGAUGACAAAAAAAAAAAAGUAGCAAUAUGCUAUCAUAGAUUGGCUUUGACCUAAAACAUUAAAUGAAAAUGAAAUACCUGGCAGCUAAGCAAAAAAUAAGGCCAUUAAAUAUAACUCUUCACUCCCACUGAUGAAAGAAAAACAAUACAUAAUGAAAAGCAAAGUAUAGAAAAUAUCCUGAAUUAUAAAGAAAGAAUAUUCAAGUUUAAACUUAUCCUUAGGUGACCUUUGCAUUUCUAACCUCACCAGAGGCUUGAGAAAAGCACAGAACAAGCAGAAUGGACAAUAACAUUUGGAUACAAACAGGACGCAUUUUUUGCUCCAAAGUGGUUCAGAACAACAGAAGAUGGAGAGUCAGCAUCCCACCAUUUGAAACCAUUUCCUCAGGUUUGGAUUCCCACAGACUGCAGAAGCCCUAGCUUUUAGAGCUCUUGUUAUUUUUAUUGGUGCUCAAACCAAUAGACAUUGGUGUCUGCAACUAUUGUUUUCUAUUAUAUGGUAUUGUAUGCCUCUGAGCGACUUCCCAUUUACCAGCUGGGACCUCCCUAACAGCAUCUCAACCCCCUGCACAAUUACUGAAGACUAGCACUCAUGUUAUUUGGCAGUUCCCAUCUCUCUGUUGUUUAUACAGACACGUAAGCAAAAAGAAUAAUUUUUAGCAAAUGUAUUUUCUUUUUAAGCACUGCAAUACCUACUUUAAGGGUCCAAUUCUGACCACCAAUUUUAGGCUCUAGCUACUAUCAGUAGGGAAUUUAUAUGAACAAAACAUACUAUUAAGGAAAUUUGUAGUAUUGGUGUUCUCUUGCUCUGGGGGCCAAAGGACAGUCCAGUGGUAACACAAUAUACUGCAAACAUGACUUAGCUAAGAUCUAAAGAAGCCUGUCGGAGAUGAAGCCACCAGUAGGUGGUCAUAUGUGUCCAAGGCAUACUUCAUUGCUCAGAACAGCAAGCCAGAGAAAUUGUUUCAAAGUACUCAUAUGUUGCCCUCCCCCCAUAUUUACUAAAGCAUUUAAAAUCUAGAAUUGUCUCAAGGAUUUUGACCUCUUCACUACAACAUGAAUUAACUUCUUGAGCUAUUUGAUAAAAGAGGAAAAAUAUGAAGAAUGCUAAAAUGUGGAAGGAUAUGCUAGCCAUAGCGGUUUUAUCUGGCAUACAGGAGGUGGAACAGAUUAUUUCUUAACUCUGAAAAGCCAUGCAAAUACUACUCUGGAAGAGGUGUGGAAGAACCUAAUAUUCUAGACUAUAAGAAUCUGAAACAAGCAAGAAGAUAUAUCAUCUUUUGUUCACAGCUGGGAAACAGUGACCCCUGAAGCAAGUUUUUUAAAAAUUAGUCAUUGCUAUAACUUGAUGCCGACAUGUAUGAUGGGAGUACUACAGAUAAAAAUCAUGAAAUAAAAACAGUGAGAAACAAGACUCUAUGUCACAAGGUUUAGAACAUAAAGACACCUUUUCCCUCCAGUCCUGAAACCUUGUUGAGUGUUGAAUCAAGGAAAAAAUGAAUAGUUUAGAACCCUCAAAAGGGAAGAGCCAGGAGUCCCAGCCGCUGAGGUAUGUUAUCACCCAUAGGAAAACAGAACACUGAUAUCAGAGUGAAUGAAGCAGGAGUUAUAGCUUUUAUUUGAACAGAGUCCCAAACAACGUUCUUUAAGAUCAGCAGCACACAUCUGGGGAACUGUAUUCACAGUAUUAUUGGCUAACUUUGGAUCUGGUUAAAUCUGCCUGGGAUCUACACAUCUGCACUUUUGUGACAAUUUUAGACAGCCAGCCAUCUUCACCCUGUGUCUCUUACUUGAGUAUGUAAGAACAGCAGUAUUGGUAGGAGGAAGAUCAUGAAGGCACACAGAACAUUUUGGUCACUCAGGAUGAGUUAAGAUCUUGGAAAGGAUUAUUUGGU